UGCCCCAUGGCUGAGUUGGUUACAGCGUCCGACUGUUAUUCAACACGCAAUCGGAAGGUCGUGAGUUCGAGCCUCACUGGGGCAG
This is a non-coding RNA of Marasmius tenuissimus, 85 nucleotides long. The record is from the annotation of a GenBank genome assembly. Lineage: Eukaryota; Fungi; Basidiomycota; Agaricomycetes; Agaricales; Marasmiaceae.